Molecule: ribosomal RNA, 497 nt
Filed under: uncultured bacterium
Lineage: Bacteria
Description: partial 16S ribosomal RNA
Rfam family: Bacterial small subunit ribosomal RNA
Source: RNAcentral
ACUCAAAUGAAUUGACGGGGGCCCGCACAAGCGGCGGAGCAUGUGGCUUAAUUCGAUGCAACGCGAAGAACCUUACCUGGGUUUGACAUGCACGGUAAUCCUGUAGAGAUACAGGGUCCUUUGGGGCCGUGUACAGGUGGUGCAUGGCUGUCGUCAGCUCGUGUCGUGAGAUGUUGGGUUAAGUCCCGCAACGAGCGCAACCCUUGUUCCAUGUUGCCAGCGCGUGAUGGCGGGGACUCAUGGGAGACUGCCGGGGUCAACUCGGAGGAAGGUGGGGAUGACGUCAAGUCAUCAUGCCCCUUAUGUCCAGGGCUGCACACAUGCUACAAUGGCUCAUACAGAGGGUUGCGAUGCCGUGAGGUGGAGCGAAUCCCUUAAAGUGAGUCUCAGUUCGGAUCGGGGUCUGCAACUCGACCCCGUGAAGUCGGAGUCGCUAGUAAUCGCAGAUCAGCAACGCUGCGGUGAAUACGUUCCCGGGCCUUGUACACACCGCCCGU